CCAUAAAUAGUAUGGUGACACCGCUGGAUAAUUACAGCAGAAAAUAUCACUAGACUCUUAAGGUUAAGUUUUUAAAAACUAUAAAUAAUUUUUAAAAACUAAUAAAUAGAAUACCUUGCACACAAUAUAAUAUUAUGGUGGUAGUGUUUCUUUGCGAAUGUUUAAUGCGAGUGAAUGAUUAAAACUAUGUUCAGCAGGUUGAUAACAAUUAAAACUAUUAUCAAUCAAAUCUAAGGCAAGUCAACUUACAAAAGUAAUGAUGGUUACAAGCUCCUGGUGGUGCAUUGCAGUUGUCUUGCGUUGAAGUCUAAUUAUCAGUGACCAGUUAGGGUUAUGACAGGGGGUGUUGAGGCCAAACAUUCCUCAGCCAAGCAGCGCAAACAAAAAUCCUGUACUGAUACACACAGCUCACCGGAGAUGGUAAACUUGAGUGCUUUCCUUUGUACGAACCACAAGAACCCAUGACAUUCAACAUAUAUAAUGUUUGUUGUUAAACUUGAUGUUCCGUUCAACUAAUAAAAACUAAGAGCGAGUCACCGCCUUGAAUGAAAAAUAAUUUAUUAGAAAGAAGUGAAUUGAAUUUCUCAUACUCUAGCAGAACUGUCAGAGGUCGGAAAAACAAAGCACAUCAUGGAGAUGUAGCAGACAACGUACUGUCGUGCGAUUCCUAUGAGCGUUUACGGUUACCGCUAUGCCGUUUCGAUUGAGUUCAUAGUUCUAAGCCUGGAGUAAAGGGGCAGCUGGGUAGUCACGUUACUCAUCCCUUUCCAAAAACUGUCCAACAAGUGUCUAGUGAACUUUUAGCAACAGGGACAACUUAAUUCCAAAGUAACCAACCAAACGAGCAUGAACCAACAGCCAAUCAUAUCCACAACUUGCUAGCCGAAGAUUAAAUGUUCCCCAACUCUCCCAUCAAGUAUUCUUCAUCACAGAUCUACAGCAGUUUUUAAGAGAUGAAAGGGACCAACGCGAACAAUGAACACUAGCUCAUUCAACUUCACGAUCGGAUUAAUUAAUCAAAACAACUGAUUGGUGUUAGUUGUUUAUUGUUAUGACAUGACUGCAAAAUCUGAAAUGCUAUCUCCAAAUUUCUUAAUUUAAUGGUAAAAAUGAAACAACCUAUCCAAAAUUUAAAUUGUAAUUCUAAAAUUUUAACCUAUUUUUUUGCGGUUACAAGUAGAUUGAAUGUUUAGAAAUGGCUUUUCUUUGUGCAUUUUUAAACAUGCCUGUUCUGUGUUAGACAAGCAAAUCUCUUUUAAUUGGUACUAGCUUGAGGAAUGCCAUGUCUGUCUCCCCUGAUCUGCUGAUGACAGGUCACACUGUAUUAAAGGUACAAAGUUGGGACAUUUUAGUAUAGUUAGCAGAAAAACGGUUCACUGAGGACAACCUUCAGUUUCGCUGCCCUGCUUGUUCUGCUUGUUAGUGAAGUGAAAUCCUGCCGUCACACGGUUUAUAAUGUUUUGGCUCCGAAGUAUUAGGAUAAAACCGGGGAUCACUGAACACCUGGUGGACACAAGUUUCACACUCUCUCUCCACUUUCUAACUGUUCAAUGAUUCUGAAAAUUCCUAUCAAUUAUUCAUAAUAGAAGUUUGCCAACAUGGCCGAUUUUUUAUUCUGUUGCCUCCUUUUGUCUUGUAAAUAUUCUCCAAGUCCUUAAACAUUUUUGUUUUUGUCAGGUUAAGGACCUCCAACCUAUCUCGCACCUUGCAGGAUCAUCCAGAGGUUAAAGGCAGCAGCAGCUCCAACAGACAACUAGGUGUUGGUGCCAUCUAGAUUCCAGUUCAAAAAUCUGUCGGGGCAUCCAUAGGGGCCGCUCCAAAGAGCCACAUAUUUAUCAAUUCCGGACCAGACAUCCAGCCACCAACGCCAAUAUCAACACUAUCAACAGCUUGAUGAAUCAGAUACCUGAAGAUUGAACAUAAUCCCUAAACCGACGAAUGACUGUAAUCCUAAACACUGAGUGGUUUCCAAGAGAUGAAAGGUCCGAACCAAUCAUAUCCACUGAUUGGUUUUAAAUUGUUUAUCAUUAAUAUUAUGUCAACAAAAUCUAAAGUGCUCUCUACCUAACUUUUUUCUAAAUUUAAUGUUACAAUGCAAGAACCUUUGCAAAAAUUAAGUUGCUGUACAAUUAUUUCAACCAUUUUCAAUUGUACUAUAGGUAGUUAAAAUUGUCAGAAAGCCUCUUACAUUUGUAAAGUUUUUUAAAUGGUCUUUUCUGUGUGAAACAAGCAUAUAAUCUUUUAUUAUGACAGAUCAUAUGUCUCCAGUACUCAUUAGGUAUCUAAAAUGAAGUUUGUAUAAUUUAUUUUCAGACCAAAAGGCUAGUAAUGAUUUUGAUUUACUUGUGUCUCUUCAGUGCUUGUUUUGUGGGUUUUAAGUGUGUUUACUGUGAAAGAAUAGUCAUGUUAUGUCAAUGAUAGGGUUAAAUAGAACUAUCUAGGUCUACUUUGUAUUCAGAUUCUUUGUUUUUAACUU
Frankliniella occidentalis (western flower thrips) is the source of this 2476-nucleotide long non-coding RNA. RefSeq lists it as uncharacterized. NCBI's taxonomy places the organism in Eukaryota, Metazoa, Arthropoda, Insecta, Thysanoptera, Thripidae. The record is from RefSeq and is a predicted model, not a curated record. The transcript is spliced from 5 exons.